UCACCGACUAGCAGAGCACUCAUACGGGAGGCAGCAGUGGGGAAUAUUGCACAAUGGGCGCAAGCCUGAUGCAGCCAUGCCGCGUGUAUGAAGAAGGCCUUCGGGUUGUAAAGUACUUUCAGCAGUGAGGAAGGUGGGUAUGUUAAUAGCAUAUUCAUUUGACGUUAGCUGCAGAAGAAGCACCGGCUAACUCCGUGCCAGCAGCCGCGGUAAUACGGAGGGUGCGAGCGUUAAUCGGAAUUACUGGGCGUAAAGCGCAUGCAGGUGGUUUGUUAAGUCAGAUGUAGAAAGCCCGGGGCUACAACCGUCGGAAUUGCUAUUUAGAAACUGGACAAACUAGAGUACUGUAGAGGGGGUAGAAUUUCAGGUGUAGCGGUGAAAUGCGUAGAGAUCUGAAGGAAUACCGGUGGCGAAGGCGGCCCCCUGGACAGAUACUGACACUCAGAUGCGAAAGCGUGGGGAGCAAACAGGAUUAGAUACCCUGGUAG
RNAcentral lists this ribosomal RNA (488 nucleotides) under uncultured bacterium. RNAcentral's name for it is "bacterial SSU rRNA". It matches the Rfam family "Bacterial small subunit ribosomal RNA", at positions 318 to 793 of the family's 1533-position model. The record is from RNAcentral.